Long non-coding RNA from Brienomyrus brachyistius, 2502 nucleotides. RefSeq lists it as uncharacterized. Lineage: Eukaryota; Metazoa; Chordata; Actinopteri; Osteoglossiformes; Mormyridae. The record is from RefSeq and is a predicted model, not a curated record. The transcript is spliced from 3 exons.
GUCUCCAUGGUAACAUUGAUGUGUAGAGGGCUGUCAGUGUGAAGUCUCUCAAUGAAGUGUUUCUUCUGCCUAUAACGAUUGCUUUUCUGAUGGGGGUCGCUCUUCCCUUUAACUAAUCAUCUUGUUCCACUCACGGCUGCUCUUGCCAAUUAUUGUUUUGUUGAUUUUUUUUUCAUAGUGAAAUUUUUGUACUUGGCCAAAUUCUGAGGACUUUCCUUUGAGAUGUCUGCUUCCCUCAGGGUUUAGGCUCCCUGGUUUUCCCUGCUAGUUUUACGGUGGCUUGGGACAAUCAAACUUCCUGGCAAGCCAAACGCCACUGGAGUGCGGCUGUCAGGCUGGUUUUGAUCAGCCUGCGUAUAUUGAAUAUGUCAUUGGGACUGUCAAGCCCUCAAUCCACACUUCAAAGGCUGCUUCCGCAACAGGCCACAUACGUUUCUCAGUUUAUUACAUUGUGUUUCAGUACGACGCGGUGGCUUAGCAGAUAGUACCGCGGUAUCAUUCCUCCCGGGGUUAUGGAUGUGAUUCGGAUCUUAACUGCAUGUGUGGAGUUAGUAAGUUUUUGUGUUUUUUUUUAGGUAUUCCUUUUUUCGCGGCCCGAAAGAUAUGCAGCUAGGUGAAAUGGAGUCUCUGAAUUGCCCUUGUUGUGUGAUUGUGUCUAUGUCCUGUGAUCAAUGGCACAGGAAAGUGUUUGAUGCUGGGGGCACAUGAUGUACUUUUAAUAUAAAAGUCUAUUUAUUGGGGGCAUGAAUAAAUACAAAUUCAAUACUGGGGGAACAUGUCCCUCGGGGUUCCUGUGCUGCUGCCUGUGAUCGACUAGCAUCCCAUCCCGGGUGUCCCCUGUCUCAUGCUCUGAAAUGGACUGGCAUCAAGUCCAGGGUGUCCCCUGUCUCAUGCCCCAUGAUGGACUGGUACCCCGUCCCGGGUGCCCCCUGUUUCAUGCCCCGUGAUGGACUGGCAUCAAGUCCAGGGUGUCCCCUGUCUCAUGCUCUGAGAUGGACUGACAUCCCAUCCAGGGUGUCCCCUGUCUCAUGCGCUGAGAUGGACUGACAUCCCAUCCAGGGUGUCCCCUGUCUCAUGCUCUGUGAUGGACUGACAUCCCAUCCAGGGUGUCCCCUGUCUCAUGCUCUGAGAUGGACUGACAUCCCAUCCAGGGUGUCCCCUGUCUCAUGCUCUGUGAUGGACUGACAUCCCAUCCAGGGUGUCCCCUGUCUCAUGCUCUGUGAUGGACUGACAUCCCAUCCAGGGUGUCCCCUGUCUCAUGCUCUGAGAUGGACUGACAUCCCAUCCAGGGUGUCCCCUGUCUCAUGCUCUGAGAUGGACUGACAUCCCAUCCAGGGUGUCCCCUGUCUCAUGCUCUGUGAUGGACUCGUAUCCCAUCCCGGAUGUGCCCUGUCUCAUUUUGACCCUCUAAGAAGCUUAUGGAAGAUGGAGUUCACCUUCCUUGCAGGGGUACCAUAAAGGGGGGAGGGGAAGUUAGACAAUGCCAAGGGCCCCUGAGUGGUAAGACCCUAAAAAAAUUUUGGAAAAAAAAUUGGAACAUACUUGGGGCCCAAUAUGAUAUGCUUUUAUAGGGCCCAGAAUCCCUUGUGGCACCCCUGUUUCCAUGCAAUUAGAUUAAGAUGAUUAUGGUAUGAAUCAUGUGCUGAUGCUGAUGGAUUGCUGCUAGCUUCACUUAUCAUGUUAACAUUUUCUCAUAGGGUUAGAAGUUGUGAAUCCAGCAGCUAGAACCGUAUGAUUAGUUUCACAACAGUAGCCUUCCAAUGGUGCGAAAAAUGUCAGUGUGUGACCUGUGUUGCUGAAUUAAAAAGAGAAGUCAUUUACAUCCAAAGAGCUACUGACCUGUAAUCGUGUCAGAAUAAAUUAUUAUUGUGACCAUGGUUGGUGUGCUUCUUAUUAAGCAUGGACAUGUCUGCUUGCGAAUUGACUGGAAAUCCUCACCAAAGUGGUGAGGUUCUGGAUUUCAAAGUUAGAAAGACUAUCACAUAUUCAUCUGGGGCAGCCAAACCUUGUGUCUAACUUCAAUAGAUAACCACAUAGAAAGCUGACUGUCUCUGUCACUGUUCUCUCAAACUUCUGUAUAAAACAAAGGCUUGUUGGCACAUGGUUAUUAUUAUUCAUAUGGGUCUUUGUCUAAAACAAAUUAAGAAGGAAUAUAUCACCGCCAUUGUAUACUGUGGACUUGAAUUCUCAGAUAAUUAAUGUUAUGAAUAAGUUACGCCUAAGAACCUCGCCAACUCAUUGAACAUAAAAGUGAAACACAUUGAUUGAUCGCAAGUGAAAUGCCUUCUGAAGGAAAUUGAUUCACAAGUGGCAAACUUUUCUCCUGGUACUCCAUGCACACGUGCCACGUUUUUGAACAAAAAAAAAAAGAAAUGAAAGCUGAGGGAAACAUGAGAAUAAAUAAAUUUCCCAGCCUUGUGGGACAGCGUUUGGCAGACAGACGAAAGGUCAGAGAUGAGUUUUUGUGUUUGCUUUUGCCUGGAGAUUUGCACACAUUUCCAA